GGCGAUCAGAUACCGCCCUAGUUCUGACCGUAAACGAUGCCAACUAGCGAUCCGCCAGUCGACUCAUCGCUCUGGUGGGGAGCUUCCCGGAAACGAAAGUCUUCCGGUUCCGGGGGAAGUAUGGUUGCAAAGCUGAAACUUAAAGGAAUUGACGGAAGGGCACCACCAGGAGUGGAGCCUGCGGCUUAAUUUGACUCAACACGGGGAAACUCACCCGGCCCGGACACCGUAAGGAUUGACAGAUUGAUAGCUUUUUCAUGAUUCGGUGGAUGGUGGUGCAUGACCGUUCUUAGUUCGUGGAGCGAUUUGUCUGGUUUAUUCCGAUAACGAGCGAGACUCUGGCCUACUAAAUAGUUGACGCAUUGCCACUGUGCGCACAACUUCUUAGAGGGAUUUUCGGUGUUUUCAACCGCACGAAAUUGAGCAAUAACAGGUCUGUGAUGCCCUUAGAUGUCCGGGGCUGCACGCGCGCUACACUGGCAAACGCAACGUGCCUGUCCUGCCCCGAAAGGAGCGGGUAAACCCCUGAAAUUUUGCCGUGAUUGGGAUCGGACAUUGCAACUAUUGUCCGUGAACGAGGAAUUCCUUGUAGGGGCGAGUCAUCAACUCGUCCCG
RNAcentral lists this ribosomal RNA (615 nucleotides) under Rotylenchulus reniformis. RNAcentral's name for it is "SSU rRNA". It matches the Rfam family "Eukaryotic small subunit ribosomal RNA", at positions 1003 to 1643 of the family's 1831-position model. Lineage: Eukaryota; Metazoa; Nematoda; Chromadorea; Rhabditida; Hoplolaimidae. The record is from RNAcentral.